GUUUGUUUUGGCAGGACAUACACUAAAACUGCAACCAUCAGAGAAAAUGAUCAUGGCCCUGUGCAAGGUUGGCAAUCAACUUUGUGACACAUUCUAUAUUUUU
Molecule: small nuclear RNA, 103 nt
Organism: Mesocricetus auratus (golden hamster)
Lineage: Eukaryota; Metazoa; Chordata; Mammalia; Rodentia; Cricetidae
Source: Ensembl